UACGUAGGGGGCGAGCGUUGUCCGAAGUUACUGGGCGUAAAGCGCGCGUAGGCGGUUAUUUAAGUCUGGGGUGAAAGGCUCAGCGCUCACCGUGGACAGUGCCUUGGAUACUGGAUGACUUGAGUCUGGGAGGGGGAAGGGGAAUUCCUGGUGUAGCGGUGAAAUGCGUAGAUAUCAGGAGGAACACCGGUGGCGAAGGCGCCUUCCUGGCCUAAGACUGACGCUGAGGUGCAAAAGCGUGGGGAGCAAACGGGAUUAGAUCCCCCGGUAUCCCACGCCGUAAACGAUGAGUGCUAGGUGUCGGGGGUAUCGACCCCCCGGUGCCGUCGCUAACGCAUGAAGCACUCCGCCUGGGGAGUACGGCCGCAAGGUUG
This 374-nucleotide ribosomal RNA is filed under the name uncultured prokaryote. RNAcentral's name for it is "bacterial SSU rRNA". It matches the Rfam family "Bacterial small subunit ribosomal RNA", at positions 524 to 896 of the family's 1533-position model. The record is from RNAcentral.